AGUGGUGUUUACAACUAAUUGAUCACAACCAGUUACAGAUUUCUUUGUUCCUUCUCCGCUCCCACU
RNAcentral lists this non-coding RNA (66 nucleotides) under Mus musculus (house mouse). The record is from RNAcentral. Lineage: Eukaryota; Metazoa; Chordata; Mammalia; Rodentia; Muridae.